GUCUACAGUCAUACCAUCCUGAAUGAGCCUGUUCUCAUCUGACCUCAGAAGCUAAUCAGGGUCGGACAUGGUUAGUACUCAGAUGAGAGAACAUGCAUGCUCAAAUAUCUUUUGGAGGCC
RNAcentral lists this ribosomal RNA (120 nucleotides) under Chinchilla lanigera (long-tailed chinchilla). The record is from RNAcentral. Lineage: Eukaryota; Metazoa; Chordata; Mammalia; Rodentia; Chinchillidae.